This 964-nucleotide ribosomal RNA is filed under the name uncultured Enterococcus sp. RNAcentral's name for it is "bacterial SSU rRNA". It matches the Rfam family "Bacterial small subunit ribosomal RNA", at positions 516 to 1475 of the family's 1533-position model. The record is from RNAcentral. Lineage: Bacteria; Bacillati; Bacillota; Bacilli; Lactobacillales; Enterococcaceae.
CGCGGGUAAUACGUAGGGGGCAAAGCGUUGUCCGGAUUUAUUGGGCGUAAAGCGAGCGCAGGCGGUUUCUUUAAGUCUGAUGUGAAAGCCCCCGGCUCAACCCGGGGAGGGUCAUGGGAAACUGGGAGACUUGAGUGCAGAAGAGGAGAGUGGAAUUCCAUGUGUAGCGGUGAAAUGCGUAGAUAUAUGGAGGAACACCAGUGGCGAAGGCGGCUCUCUGGUCUGUAACUGACGCUGAGGCUCGAAAGCGUGGGGAGCGAACAGGAUUAGAUACCCUGGUAGUCCACGCCGUAAACGAUGAGUGCUAAGUGUUGGAGGGUUUCCGCCCUUCAGUGCUGCAGCAAACGCAUUAAGCACUCCGCCUGGGGAGUACGACCGCAAGGUUGAAACUCAAAGGAAUUGACGGGGGCCCGCACAAGCGGUGGAGCAUGUGGUUUAAUUCGAAGCAACGCGAAGAACCUUACCAGGUCUUGACAUCCUUUGACCACUCUAGAGAUAGAGCUUCCCCUUCGGGGGCAAAGUGACAGGUGGUGCAUGGUUGUCGUCAGCUCGUGUCGUGAGAUGUUGGGUUAAGUCCCGCAACGAGCGCAACCCUUAUUGUUAGUUGCCAUCAUUUAGUUGGGCACUCUAGCGAGACUGCCGGUGACAAACCGGAGGAAGGUGGGGAUGACGUCAAAUCAUCAUGCCCCUUAUGACCUGGGCUACACACGUGCUACAAUGGGAAGUACAACGAGUUGCGAAGUCGCGAGGCUAAGCUAAUCUCUUAAAGCUUCUCUCAGUUCGGAUUGUAGGCUGCAACUCGCCUACAUGAAGCCGGAAUCGCUAGUAAUCGCGGAUCAGCACGCCGCGGUGAAUACGUUCCCGGGCCUUGUACACACCGCCCGUCACACCACGAGAGUUUGUAACACCCGAAGUCGGUGAGGUAACCUUUUGGAGCCAGCCGCCUAAGCGUGGAUCGGAUGUA